GACGGAGGAGGCAAGCGGUAUCCGGAAUUAUUGGGCGUAAAGGGUACGUAGGCGGCUGGUCAAGUCUGGGGUCAAAGGCCACAGCUCAACUGCGGGAAGGCCCUGGAAACUGACAGGCUAGAGUGAGGUAGGGGUUGCGGGAAUUCCCGGUGUAGCGGUGAAAUGCGUAGAGAUCGGGAAGAACACCGGAGGCGGAAGCGCGCAACUGGGCCUCAACUGACGCUGAGGUACGAAAGCUAGGGGAGCGAAUGGG
RNAcentral lists this ribosomal RNA (253 nucleotides) under uncultured bacterium. RNAcentral's name for it is "partial 16S ribosomal RNA". It matches the Rfam family "Bacterial small subunit ribosomal RNA", at positions 524 to 776 of the family's 1533-position model. The record is from RNAcentral.